Phyllostomus discolor (pale spear-nosed bat) is the source of this 5330-nucleotide long non-coding RNA. RefSeq lists it as uncharacterized. Lineage: Eukaryota; Metazoa; Chordata; Mammalia; Chiroptera; Phyllostomidae. The transcript is spliced from 2 exons. The record is from RefSeq and is a predicted model, not a curated record.
UUAAAAAAAGAUAUUUAACUGUUACUAUCUACCAGAUGGGAGUUUGGGCGUGUUUUCAGUGUCUGUACAGGUUGGGAGGUGACUAUCAGGUAUUUGGCUCCCAUGAGUACAACAGCCAUAAAAAAAAUCUCAAAGAGGAGCAACUAGUGGAUUUCCUAACAUAAGAUUAAAUUUUUAUUUUUAAAUAUCAGGAGUCUGCAAACUAUAACCCAUGGGCCAAAUCUGGCCAUACCCAUUAGUUUAUGAAUUAUCUGUUCCUGAUUUCUGGCUACCAUGUCACGUUGAAUACAUGUGAUACAGCAAAGAUAGCCCACAAACUCUAAAAUAUUUACUAUCUGGCCCUUUACAGAAAACCCCUGCUAAUCCUUGCUACACAUAAAAAAACGUCAUAAUUAAAAGGCAAACAGCAAACUAGGAACAAAAUCAAACAUUUGACCCACAUAUACCAAAGCAAAGAAUAAUACCCUAAGUAUAAAAAUGGCCUUCCAAAUUCAUUGAGAAACUCCCAGUUGGCCAUAGGCAGAGGAUAUCAAUAAAUAGUACACUAAGGAAAAAUACAAUGGAUCAAUGUAUGAACAAAUGGAAGUUUGGCCUCAAGAGUGGAGAACUGAAAAACAGCAGCAGAACUGACCACAACAAUGUAACAGUGUUUGGAGAAAGGAUGUCACAGCAUGGUGGCUACUUGUAGUGGUGGCUGUGGGUCUACUCUAAAGCAGUUUGACAAUAUACAUGAGUACCUUCACAAAAACAAGGAUACGCCCUUUGAUCCAGAAAUUCUACUUCUAAGAAGCUAUCUUGAGAAAUUAUUUGCAGAUAUAAAUAUGUAAAGGUUCAGAAUAUAUCCCAAAGUAAUAAUAUCUCUGGCUCCACCUCUUACUGGCAGGGAUGACUUUGUGUGAGCCACCAAACCUCACUAAGCCUCAGUUAACUCAUCUGUAUAAUGAGAAUGAAAAACAGUACCCAACCAUAGGGCUGUUGUGAAGAUUCAAUGUACUAGUACAUGUACGUUUUUAUGUAGAAGACCUAUUAGAUAGUAGCAACAGGUAUUAAAACCCAACUACUUCUUAUAAGUGAAAUAACAGGGAAAUAGUUAAGUAAAUACUGGCAUAUCCUUAUAAAGGAAUACUAUGAGUCAUUAAAUUAAUGAGUUUAUGGCAUAACAAUGGUAUAGAAAAAUUCACUGUCAAAAUAAGAUCACAAAACUAAAUAUGCAAUAUUAUUUCAAUGGCAUUGAAGUAUAGAAAAUCCGUAAGUGCAUAUAAAAAAGGACUGGGAAAAUAUAUCAGAUAUUAAGGAUGGACUCAGAGGUAGGAAUAAGGAUGUUGUUAUUUUUUUAAAAACUAUUAUAUAUUAUUUUUCAUAAUAAACAAACUAAGUAUUUUCUGAUAUAAAUUAGAAUAAGUAGGGAAUAAAUAGAAAUUACAUAUGUUGAGGCAAGAAAAAAGUCCAAACAUAUGUUGACCCUUUUAACUUGGAAAGAGUUGGUGAGAAAAGCCAGGUCAGGGGAAAUGAGUCUCUUGUCUCAUUUCAGGCCAGUCUCCUAUGUAUAAGGCCCAGAGAAGGAGUGGAAAACCUGGGGGGGGGGGGUGGGGAUCUGUGUCAAUCAUAAUUUUCUCAUGUUAAGAACUUCUCAUCCUCUGUUUCAGAAACCAGGGAUUCCCCAGGCUACUCUCAUCGUUAUCCCCACCAGAGUCCUAUCACUCCUCCAGGGCCAUCCCAGAGGUGUGGUCCCUGGCACUGCCACCCAGACUCUCCUCCACCUCUAACCACACGAGGAGAAGAAUACAGAGGACUUCUCAGCACUCAGCACGAUUCUCGGCAUCAACGGAAACAUAAAUCCAAGGGCCAGCAAAGAGCGAAGUCUUCUUGAGAACAAGGGGUUUAGAAGCCUAGUGAAUGUCUGGAGAGAGAGAGGCAGACUCUUCCCAAGGGUUUACAUCUUGGUUUUUCCCACCUGGCUUCCUUGCUGAAGAAGAGCACAGCCCAGGCUAAGUCGGCUAGAAUUUUGUCACCGAGUAGGGGGUCUCAAACAACAGGGUGGGCCUUUUAACCCCUUCUGCUUUGUUCUCAUCUACUUUGGAACCUCCGGUGCAUAACAGCUGGGCUGCUCUGGCACGUUGUUUAACCUUCAAGCCUAAGUGUCCUGACUAUAAAAGGGGGUAGUAAUGGUACCUAUGGCUUUAAGGUUGUAGUGAUGAGAAAAUGACGUGUCUCCGGCAAGCACUUCCUAUAGGACCUGGCACACAGCAAGCACUCAAAAAUGUUAGCUGUGUUUGUAGUGCCAGAGCUUUACAGGGGACAAACAUGUGGAAAGAAAGUCUUUCACUUGAAAAAUCACAAAGGAAAACUGUGUGAAACUCAUAUGCCCUGGCCCCCACCUACACUCUGACCCCAUCUUCAUUCCCUUGGACAUGGGCUCACUCUGGUCCCACUGACCUCCUGGAAUUUCUUCAUUCACGUUAAGCAUCCAGGACUUCACAUUUGCUGUUUCUUCUGCCUGAAACAUCCUACUUCCAGACAGCCCCAGGACUUGCCACUUCAUUCCAUUCUGAUAAUUUAUUUAUUACAAAGCGAUCUUGUUCUCCAGACAAUCUAAAGUGGCACCUUCACCACCCUAGUCACUUUCUGUCCUUCUUCCCUGUGUCAUUUGCUUUUGUCCCAGUACCUGAGUGUUACAUUUACAUAUUAAUACAGUUAUUACCUAGGGCCCCUGCUAGCUAGUAAGAUCCAUAAAGUAGGAGUAUUUUUUUUGCUGUUGUUCACUGCAACAUUUCUAAAGUCUCAAAUGGUGCCCAAAAUAAUAGAAGGCAUAUACUAUCAAUUCAAUAAACACAUAAAACAUAUACAUAUAUAUAUAUAUUUCCUAUUUGAUCUCUAGAUGUCUUUCUAGAUUAUUGCACUAAUUUAGAAUCAUUGAAGCACUCAGGCAGUGAAGAAUAUUCUGGGCCUUAACCUGACCUUUAUAACUUUUGACACAAGAUAAAUUUCAACUUAAAUCCAUGAAAUUCACAUUAGAUUCAUUGCGAUCUUUCCUUGGUAUUCUUGGCCCAUGUAAUAUUAUGUUUGAUUGGAGAUAUUCUACAUAUAUGUAGGGAAAACUUCAAUUCUUAAACAAUUGACAAGAUUCUUCUUGUGAUUUAUAUACUUCCCACAGGUCUCAUGGCUUAGGAAAAUUGGACCCUGCUCCCUAAGACUUUCUCAAGGUCACUGUGUCUUAAACAGAAGGAGGCCUCUUAUCUAUGCUUAGGUCUUUGUACAAUGUGCUUCGUGCUGGGGGGAAGAGAUCUCUCCCAUCCAGGCAUUCCCCAAGUCCUAGCUUUUUAGGAUUUCUAUAUAAUGGAAUGAAUCAUGCCAAUUCUUAAGCCUUGGAGACUGCAUCAGAGUGAACCUUGACCUAGGAAAGUCGUCAAGCAAUCUAUUGAUGGACCAGACAAGUAAAUGACAGUAUCUGCUUAAAGUUCUGAAGACACAUUAAAUUACUAUCAUACUGCUCUGUCGUUUCUACUCAGUUCGAAGAUAGCUGAGUUGGCUAAGAGUGAUUCCCACUACCAUCACAUACUGAAAAGUAAACUUCAAGGCUGUCAUUAGAAAAACCCAAGAGAUAGCUGGGUAAAUGCUCACAUGACCACAAGUCAACCCAAGCUUUUACUGUGGACAGUAGAGCUCAGCUCUGGUCCUCACCAGCAACCUAGCUUUGAAGGCACGUAAUUUGCUCUGUUCUCAAACAUCCCAGCUCAGGGUCAAGUGCCCCAGGAAUUACUUUAUUAUACUUUGCUUGAUUUCAUUUUAUUUUUUAUUCGGUUCAGAAGCUUGCUUUACUCUGCACAAGGCCCAAGUUGUUCUUAAGACUUUCUGGACCUUGUGAAUUGAAGACAUGGUUUUUCUGGGUGUUGUGUUCCAUUUUGGGUACAGUAAGUCAUUUUCUCUUUAUAUCUGAAAAUGGAAGACUUUGUUUUUAAUAUGUCUGGGCAAUAAACUUGUGAUCCUUCAGCAGCUUGGUUCUUUGUAAUAACCUAUAGGCAUUUUCCUCUGCUAUUUAGCUCAUAUAUAGUAGGAAACAAGUCUAAAACUUCACUCCCUAGUUCAUAUCUCUUCCUGCUGCUGAAAAGGUUCAGAGUGUGUUGAGUUCAAAAAGAAUAAGCGGCAAUUUGUGGCUCCCAAACCCAAAGGUUCAGUAGUGAACUCUCCUGAAAGCAAGUUUAUUCCACACAUUUUCCCCAGCCUCAUCCACCUCCCAAAUUUCCCCAGCCGAUUUGCGCCACGGCAUCUUUGCUGAGGUUCUCCACAGAGGCCUCCCUCCAAUGAUGAUGGUAGCCCAAGAGGCUGCCAUCAGUGACAUCAGACCUAUUGGCAGUAACUGCAGUGGCACUUCUGACAAUAUGCCAAGAGUUCUAGGAGCCAGGCAUGAGGUGGGUAGUCCAAAUAAUGAUUCCUGCCCAAGCUGCCCUCUGCUGGGACAACCCACCACUAAUUAAAGGCCAUCUGUUUAGACCAUACAGGCUGUCCUGCCAGAAGGAGCCAGAUGUCAGCACAUUACUCCAGUCCGUGACCUCUCUUAGGAUAUUAACAUGGAUUAUUUAUGGGUGGGCUGAGGUGGUUACUCUAUAGGAGCCUCCUUCCUGGUGCACGGCUUAAGAAGUUAUAUAUAUGUUAUAUAUAAACUUUAUGACGAUGCCAUUAAUUUUGGGUAUUGCCAAGUUCCAGAUCUAUAUGCUCUGUAGUGGGGUUCUGGGCCUGGUUCAACAAUAAUAAUUUUUAAAAACACUCCAAUGUCUCAUUUCUCCAUGUUUUCCAUGGGCUCUACCUAAGUAUAGAUAUGAAUAUUUUCUUCUUGGGAAUUCACUGGCAUUUAGUUUGUGCCAAACUGUCUGUGAACUACUCUCUUCCCUUCAAUUAGAGAGGGGCGCCAAAUAAGUGCCUUCUUAAAGCUGAAAGAGAAUUGGGCGUCACCAUUCUUGAUGGUGUUCUUAUUCUUCUAAGUUAUGAGUUGAAAUGCCUUCUAUCCAAAGCAGGUUCUGGGUGAAUUAGUUUACCCCACAAGGGGAAGAAAACUGGAUGAAUACAGAAUUAUGAAUCAUAAAAGUUGAACUCUAGUCCUGGCUCUACCAUCUCUCUGUCACGGGAACUUGGGAAAGUUGCCUGCUCUUUUAGGCCUCAGACUGUUCUUCUCAAUAUUCCCAAACUAAGUGUCUUACAUAUAGUGAUGGUUCCCAAUUAAUUCUGAAAUGAAUAUACAUUUUAAUAAAAAUAUUUAAAUGAACUGAGUAAUGUCUAUCCUUCUUGCUGAAUCUGUAUCCUGUAGAAUGUAAAAUAAAAAAUGCUGAAAAGAA